RNAcentral lists this ribosomal RNA (306 nucleotides) under Triticum aestivum (bread wheat). RNAcentral's name for it is "partial small subunit ribosomal RNA". The record is from RNAcentral. Lineage: Eukaryota; Viridiplantae; Streptophyta; Magnoliopsida; Poales; Poaceae.
GGGCGCGGAGGUUCUGCUGGUAACAAGUUCCGAUUGUCAAUGGGUCUACCGGUGGCAGCCACUGUCAACUGCGCUGAUAACACUGGUGCCAAGAACCUCUACAUAAUCUCCGUGAAGGUAAUCAAGGGGCUCCUAAACAGGCUCCCUUCUACCUGCAUUGAUGACAUGGUUAUGGCCACUGUCAAGAAGGGAAAGUCAUACCUGAGGAAGAAAGUCAUGCCGGCUGUCAUUGUGAGACAGCAUAAGCCAUGGCGCUGAAAGGACAGUGUCUUCAUGUACUUUGAAGGUACUGCCACGUUCUUAUGA